UAAAUGAUUUCACCUUGCUACAGAGAAUAACUAAACCAAAUAGCUCUAUCAAAAGGGAUGGAUCACCAUAUAAAGCACCUCCAAUAGAGCUUCGAUGUCUGCAUCUUCAUAUAAAGGAUUUCAUGACAUAAUUAAGGAGCACAAUGAAUUCCCAAGUGAUAAGUGAAGACUGAACUCAAUUCACAGACAUUACCACAUUUACCUCAUAUAUACGCCUCCCC
Molecule: long non-coding RNA, 221 nt
Filed under: Prunus persica (peach)
Lineage: Eukaryota; Viridiplantae; Streptophyta; Magnoliopsida; Rosales; Rosaceae
Description: long non-coding RNA (PPER_LNC002136)
Source: RNAcentral